This 190-nucleotide small nuclear RNA is filed under the name Oncorhynchus mykiss (rainbow trout). Its description in RNAcentral is "U2 spliceosomal RNA (ENSOMYG00000049717.1)". It matches the Rfam family "U2 spliceosomal RNA". From Rfam's summary of the family: U2 is a small nuclear RNA (snRNA) component of the spliceosome (involved in pre-mRNA splicing). Complementary binding between U2 snRNA (in an area lying towards the 5' end but 3' to hairpin I) and the branchpoint sequence (BPS) of the intron results the bulging out of an unpaired adenosine, on the BPS, which initiates a nucleophilic attack at the intronic 5' splice site, thus starting the first of two transesterification reactions that mediate splicing. Lineage: Eukaryota; Metazoa; Chordata; Actinopteri; Salmoniformes; Salmonidae. The record is from RNAcentral.
AUCGCUUCUCGGCCUUUUGGCUCAGAUCAAGUGUAGUAUCUGUUCUUAUCAGUUUAUAUCUGAUACGUCCCCCAUCGGGGGACUACAUAUUAAAUGGAUUUUUCGAACAGGGAGUCGGAAAUGGGGCUUGCUCCGUCCGCUCCACGCAUCGACCCGGUAUUGCAGUACCUCCGGGAACGGUGCAACACUU